Molecule: ribosomal RNA, 254 nt
Filed under: uncultured bacterium
Lineage: Bacteria
Description: partial 16S ribosomal RNA
Rfam family: Bacterial small subunit ribosomal RNA
Source: RNAcentral
CACGUAGGGUGCGAGCGUUGUCCGGAAUUAUUGGGCGUAAAGAGCUCGUAGGCGGUGUGUCGCGUCGGCCGUGAAAACCUACAGCUUAACUGUGGGCUUGCGGUCGAUACGGGCAUCACUGGAGUUCGGCAGGGGAGACUGGAAUUCCUGGUGUAGCGGUGAAAUGCGCAGAUAUCAGGAGGAACACCGGUGGCGAAGGCGGGUCUCUGGGCCGAUACUGACGCUGAGGAGCGAAAGCCAGGGGAGCGAACGGG